Molecule: ribosomal RNA, 495 nt
Filed under: uncultured bacterium
Lineage: Bacteria
Description: bacterial SSU rRNA
Rfam family: Bacterial small subunit ribosomal RNA
Source: RNAcentral
GAGUUUGAUCGUGGCUCAGGACAAACGCUGGCGGGUGCAUGAGACAUGCAAGUCGAACGGGGUUGAGCGGGCUUGCUCGAUCAACCUAGUGGCGGACGGCUGAGUAACGCGUAGGUGACCUGUCCGGAAGUGGGGAAUAACUGCCCGAAAGGGUGGCUAAUACCGCAUGUGGUCGGCGAUUCGGUUCGCCGUGCAAAGCCGCAAGGCGCUUCCGGAGGGGCCUGCGUCCGAUUAGCUAGUUGGUGGGGUAACGGCUCACCAAGGCGACGAUCGGUAGCUGGUCUGAGAGGAUGAUCAGCCAGACUGGGACUGAGAACGGCCCAGACUCCUACGGGAGGCAGCAGUCGGGAAUUUUGCCCAAUGGACGAAAGUCUCGAGGCAGCAACUCCGCGUGAGGGACGAAGGCCUUCGGUCGUAAACCUCUUUUCUCAGGGAGAUACGAAGACGGUACCUGAGGAAUAAGACCACGGCUAACUACGUGCCAGCAGCCGCAGU